CCGACUGAUUGACGUAUACAUCGGGUUUCUAACUCCGCCUUCCUCUUGCCCCUUAGCCAUGGAUCGCUUCAGGAGGAGACUCCAAGUGGAGGUGCCACAGGACAACGGCGGCAGCAGAGAUGGAAGCGGGGGAGCCGUCGAGAAGCCGAUGGAGGCGCAGAAUGAAGGGAUGCAGGGUGAUGAGCUGGAGAUCGCAGACGAGGAGCCGGGGCAGUUUGCGGGACUGAAGUUGCGGAGGAGGGCCGCGCUCGCCGGGAAUUGCAAGGGAGACUACGUCGGCGUAUCUUAUGAUCCCUUCCUUGAUAAGAUCUUGCGCAAACAAGGUGACAGAACAGUUCUAUUUGCGGAUAAGGUGAUCAAAGUCACUGGAUCCGGAAAGAUGAAGAAACAGAUUAUGCUGAUUACUGAUUUUGCUAUAUAUCUUGUUGACUCUGAUGCUGAUGCCUUGAAGAGGAGAAUAGCACUUGCAGCAGUUGAAAAGAUAUGUUCGAGCAAAUUCAGUGACAACUUUUUUGCACUGAUCAUUCCUACUGAGUAUGAUUGUCUAAUGGCUAGCACAAGAAAAACAGAGAUUGUGAAUGUCUUGAUUGAAGCCACCAAGGGUGCAACCGAGGAACUUGAAGUCGUUUUCUCCAACAGUCAUCCUAAAAAACAUUUGCAUAGCAAUUGCUGAGCCAUUAUAUCUUGUGGAAUUGCUCAAGCUCUAUCUCACAUAAACCUCAUGUCUGGGUAGAUCAAACGUCGGUGGGAAAAUCUAACUAAAGCUCUCUUUUUUUCCUUGUAAAAUUGAAUACAUAUUCUCUAAAUCAAUAGGCAUAUGUACUGUGUAAAAUUGACAAAAAAAAAUAUAUGGCUGUUUAUUUUUUCAACCAGAAAGAUGAAAACUGUGGAAAUUAUGCAAAACGCAGGUUUGAGUAUAAUGCUGCUGACGACGUAGUGAAAGAAAUCGAAUUUGUGGAAGUAGAAGGAGCCAUUGGAACAAGGAUCUCAAGGAAGGCUAUCCAAUGAUGCGAUCCUGCUUUGGCUUUUAUUGAAGAGCACCUUAUGUCGAGGUUCCAACUACCUUUUGGUUAUGAUGGCCAGAACUCUUGAUUCAUAACCUCAACAAUCAAUUCAAUCUUUGUUUUCCAUGUCUUUUUUCUUUUACUUGAGUUUAUUCGAGUUGAUGACA
Molecule: RNA transcript, 1171 nt
Organism: Zingiber officinale
Lineage: Eukaryota; Viridiplantae; Streptophyta; Magnoliopsida; Zingiberales; Zingiberaceae
Gene name: myosin IA heavy chain-like
Exons: 4
Source: RefSeq, a predicted model, not a curated record